AUGUUUGAUGUCCUGAACCAUGUGGAAGUGACGCGGACGACGGUGACACUAUGGGCUAUUUGGUAUGCUCGACGAAAGUUGAUACAUGAGGGAAUUAACCAAAGUCCCUUGUCAACUCAUCUUUUUGUCACUCGUUUCAUAGCAGAGCUAGAUCAACUACAACAAAAGAAGGAUCAACAUGUGAUAUCGAAACCAUGGGCUGUGUCACCCAGAGUUUGGCGACCACCACCAGAGGGAACUGUCAAAAUAAAUGUGGAUGCAGGUGUAUCAGAGAACCAUGGAACGGGCACUGCAGCAGCUAUAUGUAGGGACCGGGAUGGCAAUUUUCUUGGCUCGUCGAUCUUGGUUAUCAAGGGCCUGCUUGAACCUGCAGUGCUAGAAGCUGUGGCCUAUAGAGAAGCUCAAGCUUUGGCACAAGACUUGAACCUACAACAUUUAUUUAUAACCUCUGAUUGUGAGCAAGCAGUGAAGCAUAUUCAGCAGAAGUCCGGGGGAGAAGAAGGUGGGAUUAUUAAAGAGAUUCAUGAGACCACAACAUCUUUUAUUUCUUGUACUUUCAACUACGAGUCUAGGGUUUCAAAUUUUGAAGCCCAUAAGCUAGCUAGGUAUGGUGUCUCUCUGCCUAUAGGGAGACAUAUUUGGUUAGGUAUUCCACAUGAUACUCUUGUAACACCUACCUACAUUUUAGAUGAUCAAUAA
This 699-nucleotide ribosomal RNA is filed under the name Triticum aestivum (bread wheat). RNAcentral describes it as "partial small subunit ribosomal RNA". The record is from RNAcentral. Lineage: Eukaryota; Viridiplantae; Streptophyta; Magnoliopsida; Poales; Poaceae.